This 253-nucleotide ribosomal RNA is filed under the name uncultured bacterium. RNAcentral's name for it is "partial 16S ribosomal RNA". It matches the Rfam family "Bacterial small subunit ribosomal RNA", at positions 524 to 776 of the family's 1533-position model. The record is from RNAcentral.
UACGGAGGGGGCGAGCGUUAUUCGGAAUUAUUGGGCGUAAAGGGCGCGUAGGCGGCCUGAUAAGUCAAAGGUGAAAUCCCUCGGCUCAACUGAGGAAUUGCCUUUGAAACUGCAAGGCUCGAGUCCGGAAGAGGGGGGCGGAAUUCCCAGUGUAGCGGUGAAAUGCGUAGAUAUUGGGAGGAACACCAGUGGCGAAGGCGGUCCCCUGGGCCGGAACUGACGCUGAGGCGCGAAAGCGUGGGUAGCAAACGGG